This is a long non-coding RNA of Carya illinoinensis, 1102 nucleotides long. RefSeq lists it as uncharacterized. The record is from RefSeq and is a predicted model, not a curated record. Lineage: Eukaryota; Viridiplantae; Streptophyta; Magnoliopsida; Fagales; Juglandaceae. The transcript is spliced from 2 exons.
CAGCUACAAACAGGUUGAUUACAUCAAAUUAAAGGACCAUGCUUGCGUUCAGAUCAACGUUGGGCAUUUGGAUGAGAAUGGCGUGUAAAAUGGCCAUUUCUCCACCUUUGCUCUGUGUGGCUUCGCUUGUGCUCAGGGAGAUUCUGACAGUGCGCUGGAUCGUCUCUGGCAGAAAAAGAAAGUCGAAGCUCGACAACAGUAGAGCAAGGGAGAGAGAAUAUAGUUGAUUUCUGUUUUUGAAGUUCUGCUUGAGGGUAGAAAAAUGUGGUUGGAUUUUGACUCCUUUCAGUUAUUAUGGAAUAUUGCAACUUUUUUGAACUGCCAUGAAAUAAAAAAGAAAAAAGAAAAAAAAAAGAGUUUCUUUUUAAAAGGGAAGGUAAGGGAGCUGCUAUGCGUCAGUCCUAAGAACCCUCUUUAUAGCAGGGUCUGCUUUAACUCUCUCUUUACAAAAGAAAUGACAAUGAUGGCUUACUUCAGAAUUUCCAAAACUGCAUUUUGAUUUCGUGGCAAACAGUUGGUGCUGUUUGAGAAUGAAUAAAACAACUUGUAGGUGAAUUAAAUGGUCAAAAAAAUGUUUUACUGUAGAUGAGUAUGUCAUCAAAGAAAAUUCACUCUUAAAUCUUAAAUCUCAUGCACUGAGAUCUCUGAAAAUUCAUAAACUCUCUCUCUCUCUCUCUCUCUCUCUCUCUCUCUCUCAUCUUCAAAGAGAAAGCGGAACCCUAACUCCACAAACCGAGCUCAUGCUAUCACGUAUUCGAACUUCGGAGUCUUCACCAAGCCAAGGAAGAUCACUCUAGCAACGAUCGACUCAGUACUUUCUUUUAGGGAAAUCCGUUCUAGGAGUGUGGGGAACCCCCAAAGCAUGGACCUAAUGAUCCCUAAGAAUCAUCAUGGGUGGCGGUGCCAUUCGACCGGAAGGCUAUUGGCUUUCUGUAAGAUAGUCAAGAAAAAUGGGUGGAUGAUUUUUGAGUGUCCAAAGUAGUAGCAGAUUGGUUGGACUGCAAUAAAGAGAUUUCAACUUUGUAAUGAAAAAUCUUGGUUCAACCUGACAUCCCUUUUUAUAAACAAUUGUUAUGAUAUGAUGUUAGCUCAUAUUAAGUUA